UACUGCUCUCUCUUUACUCUGGUCUUUUGGUGAAUGAGGACUUUUCACAAUGCCCUCUCUUUUUUCUUUUAUUUUUUCAUUCUUCCAUUGGCAAAAAAAUAGAAAGAAAAAAAAAAACAGCAUUUCCCAUCGCGUUUCACCAAAUUGUUUUUGCUAUAUCAAAAACAAUUGUCCUCAGGUGAAGAAUGCGCCUGCAGAAUUACAACCAUUCCAGGGGGAGAAAGAGGUCUUCACAAAUCUGACUGGCUUCCAGGCAGCCAAGACCCCCUCGAAGUGGUAAUGAAAAGUGUAACUUUAGCCUCCCAGCUGUACGUCUCAAUCCAUAAUCCUUCCCCAAAAACCUCACCGUAGUGCCGCCUACCACUCCCAUGGCGUUCCCAGCCUGUGCCGGGCUGGGCCUGCACUGAUUUAUGUGGCAGUCCCGUGUCAUACUCUCAACCUGAAAAGGAUUUGCUCUCUUAUAUUUACCAGGGUGGUCAGGGAGGCUCUCUGGAAACACAGAGAGCCCAGUCUCCGGGCCUCACUCCCAGGCUUUCUCUUCUUUUUACCCCUGUGUGCCAAUAACCUGGACGCUUUGGACCUUACCAGAAUCAGACGAGGCUCCAGUGUUUCCAUAGUGGUGUGUUGCAGCAGUGCAGAGGUCAGAGUCCACACACCCGCGCCCACGCAGCCGCAUGGCCACGUUUUGGUAUGCAGAUGCACAGACGCAGGUAAGUCUGCUCCAGGUGCACCCCAUGGUGAUCUUGACCUAUUCUGAUUCACUCCGCAGCUCUCGGGUCAGGCCGAGGGCCCAGCAGGCAACCAGCGCAGGUCACAGAGGGCCUCAACAUCCCAGAGAUGAGACUCCAGACUGGCAUGAAGAGGAGUGUUUGAUGUGGCCCUGAGCUGGGCUAUGUUACCACGUUGCUAUGCCUUUAAUUAGCUCCAGCAGCUGCUACUUCCUGGUUGACAGGCCGUGGUAAACUCCACUGUCUCUGUAAUCUCUUACAGGUGACUGUCAGUUACAUGUCAGCUCGUUGUGCAGCGACAGGCUGCGCGUUCUUCUUUAAGUCAGGUGUUAGAGCUUUAGAAAGCAACGUCGCUGUUUACCAAGCUAAUUAACUGUGAAGUGACUGUAGACAAGAUUUGAAUGAAAAAAAAAGGGCUCGCCGCGCUAUAAUGACCACAGCAUGUUUCCAAAUAUGUUAUGCAAAUAUGUCUCGAAGCACCGAUCCCCUGCCCAUUAUUUUUUUUUACAACUUUUGUGUCUGUUUUCGGAGGAUGCAAUCAUGAUUAAGAGACUACAAAGUUCUCUGGGUGACAGUAAAAGUGCCACUCUGCAUUCUUUAUCUGGAUUUCCAGCUUGCACAAAGACAUCUUAACCACUGGAAAUUGCCCUCCGAGGACUGACGGCUAGAAAUUGAUCUCAGAUUAGAUGAGCGCACCUCGUUCCCCGCUCUCCUUUGUCACUCCCAAGUUGGUGGAUCUUUCCUUAAAACUCCGCCAGAGAUGAAAAAAGGGAGACUUCGCAGCUGGCUAUGGCAUACUAAUACCCUGGACUCAUUAAAUUAAUGGGGGCCAGAUUCCCCUCACUGAAUGUGCACGGAUGCCCUUUGAGUUUGCCGGGGCUAGAGGGUGUGCAGCACUUUGAAAGCCCUGACCGGCAUAUUGAACGUGUUUUAAUAGAAGCCUUUUGAGACUCCUGGUAGGAUGCACAGUAACUCUUUGCCUUUAAGUUCCCGCACCUCUCUGUGUGAUCUCGUCAGAUAGCCACUCUAUCCUCGGAUUCAGGCCUGGAGAGGGGGGAGGGGACCGUGCACGUUAAAUGAGGCCAGAGGUGCCCAUAUCUCAGCAGAGGCCAUUCUUUCCUGGAGAUGUGAAUCUUUGAGACGCGGUGCUGAGCAAGCUUUGAUGUAGGAAGGUGCUCGGCGUAGGACUGAAACAGGAGGCUUACAGGGCCGGCGUUCAGCGGGAUUCCCUUCUGGCCUCUCAUUGGACAGUCGUCCAUACAGUGUUGAUUUAAAUUACUCUAUUCUGCUGUUCACUAUAAAACAGAUUCAGUCCCACAUAUGGCCAUUAAUGUGGAGGCACCACUGCCAAUCACGCCAUAAUAUAGGCAAGCCGCAGGAACGCAUAGGAUCCAGUGAAGAGGCUUUCAUUGCCAUACUAUAAUCUCAAGGUAUAAAGGGCAAAGAAAAAUAUAUUGUUUUUGAUGGCGAUAUAUUGAAAAACUCUUAAUAUAAUAGGAGGGAUUGAAUAUUAAUAUGUGAAUUUUGCAUAUUUGCCCAACAGCAAAAAAGAUGAAUUGAUAAGAAAAGAAAGCUGGUGAAUUUGCAUGACAAAAAAGUCCCUUUAGAGUACUAAUACAUCAUCCUCAUGGUUAUCUGAACCACAAGUGCCAGAUGUUAAGAUAGGGAGAAUUUAUCUUCAAUGAAAUUAAGAUAUUAAGACGAGAAUCUGAUUUUGAUAUCGAUAUAGUUGUUAGGUAACAGCGAGCCAAAAGCUUUCUCUGCCCUGAGCUGAGAGGACAUCAUGAUAUAACGAUAAUCUUGCUCUCAGUUCUGCUCUGUCAUCUCGCCUGCAUGCUCUUGAACGCCGUGACGCGGGAAAACAUCGCCGACAAUGAUGAGAUUAUACGCAGUCAGGAAUGAGCUAGCAGGACUCAUCCCGGCGGACUGACAUACCCUUUAAAACGCAGCUGAAUAAGACGAGUGGCAGGAAGAUGCGGCGCCGGAGCCAGACAAUGAGGCUCUCGCUGCUGAAUAGAGUGAAUAAACAGAAAUCCAGGAGAGCUAAAAAUGGCUGACUCAGGUGCGCAGCAGAGGAGGCAUCACGUUUCUCGAUUACAACUACCUUAGCCUUUGCAUGUGACAAAACAGAACCAUAUACCUCUUACAGAAACCCAUGUUGGGCAAUCAUUUGAUUUCCGUAGCCAGCUUUGACAGUAAUGAUUUCAUAAAGCCUUUGAUUUUAGCUCGAUCACCAUGGCUGCAACAUCGCCGGGUACCGCUUCCUCAUUAGCGAUUCCAUAAGCAGAGAGCAACGCACUGCUGUAGCGACUGAUACUUACAUGCCUCCCACUCUAAAGUGUGGCGGUAAUUUAUUCUCUCCACCGCGGUGCUCAUCAUCCCGAUGCAACUCACAUAGUGACAAGAAUCCAUCUCUGUGGUACCUGGCAACAAAGCGGGAGGAGGGGUGAAAGGGAGGGGGGAUCACAUAUUUUGUGAUCACAAUCAGAAGGGAGAGGAGCGGUUACCAGGCAGGUUUAGAACAUCCUAAAGCCACACUGCUACCAUUAGAACAUCCUGUGAACAUUAAAACCAGAGAGAGGAGGUGAAAACAAUUCGCUGGCUGAGAUCUGAUCCAAUAUAAGCUAUCUUCUCCUGCCAAAACUUUCUCAGAGUAUGGCUUAAGCACUUCAAAGUUAAGUACUAUAUAGAGAGUAUGAUUCAUUUGGCAGCUCAUAUUGUCCAGCUUCAAAAACCUAAAGCUAGUCAGAGACACACUGUGGGCUGUUUUCAGCUUCAGAGAAAGAGAAAGAAUUUGGCUUGAGCUUAGGCCGCCCAUCCCCAUCCAGAGAUGGGCUCUUUUUCAUCUUAUCGUAGUCUUAGCGCAUUGGCGUUGUGACUAUGUGCUUCACAGGUGGGAGUCUGCCUCUGUCAAAUAAGCCAGUUCACUAAGGACGGGAUUUGCCGCUGUUAUUUUUCUAUUAGGGAAGAAUUAUGCUAAGCCUUUAGAGGCCAUCUUUGUGUUGCUAUGGCAGCCCAUAUUUCCUACCGGGUUGAGACCUUGAAUGACUACAGUGCAAAGCCAAGUAGCCCCCAAACCCUUUGAGGAUUAGAACCAGGGUCUCAUAGUUAUGCAAAACACCUCUGAUAUGAUUGAACCUUGAAUAGUUGAAUGACAAAGUUUAUUGAGAUUGCCUCUCUUUUCAUCUGAUUAUUGUCAUUUGGUUAUUCCCGAUCACUUGGCGUGGCUUCAAACGCAGCUUUUCAAACGGCCAUUGUUUAGGACAACGCUAAGAGCUUUUUCUCUGUCCACAAACCUCAUAUCUUUGACUAUUAUAUCAGGGAAAACAAGAAGACAUGAUUCAUGGUGGUAGAAAUUGAAAGGUAUUCAUCUCGAACAGAAAUACAGUAGAAGGCAAGGCUAAAAGUAUUGAUUCGUUAUAUAAUAGCAUUGAUUUCUUUCCCUUAAUUAGAAUUUUGAAAAUGCCCAUUACACGUUUUCAUAAUCCAAGGCUUCAUCUACAAAUUGCUUGUUCCGUCUGAUGAACAGGCAAAGAUAUUUGAUUUGAAAUUAUGAACAAAGAAAAGCAGCAAAUACUGAAAUAUGAACAUCGAGCAGCUGCAAAUGAUUGGUAUUUUUGGUAUUGGUAUUAUUUGUUAAUCAAAACUGUCCAUUAGUUUUUAUUAGGGCCGUCAAAGUUAACGCGAUAAUAACCCGUUAACGCGAAAUCUUUUAACGUUUCUAAUUUCAUUAACGUAUUAAUGCAACUUGUGAUUUUUAGGUUGUAGCGGGCUCAGUUUAAAGCCAGAGUGAAGCUACUGGUAUCAUAUGAAACUAGAAAACCUGAGGAAUCUAUUUGUAUCAACCAUGCUUGCUGUGGAGGAGGUUAAAUAAUGGUCCAACUUGCGCUAAAGUUUGCAGAGGAAAAACCGUUAUGGACAUUUUUUAAAUGGGUCCCUUGACCUCUGACCUCAAGAUAUGUGAA
Sebastes umbrosus (honeycomb rockfish) is the source of this 4693-nucleotide long non-coding RNA. RefSeq lists it as uncharacterized. The record is from RefSeq and is a predicted model, not a curated record. Lineage: Eukaryota; Metazoa; Chordata; Actinopteri; Perciformes; Sebastidae. The transcript is spliced from 2 exons.